RNAcentral lists this ribosomal RNA (482 nucleotides) under uncultured bacterium. RNAcentral describes it as "partial 16S ribosomal RNA". It matches the Rfam family "Bacterial small subunit ribosomal RNA", at positions 28 to 507 of the family's 1533-position model. The record is from RNAcentral.
GAUGAACGCUAGCGGCAGGCCUAAUACAUGCAGGUCGGACGGGAUUCAGGAGCUUGCUUCUGAUGAGAGUGGCGCACGGGUGCGUAACACGUAUGUAACCUACCUUUAUCAGGGGGAUAGCCUCUCGAAAGAGAGAUUAAGCCCGCAUAAAAUCACAGCACAGCAUUGUGUAAUGAUCAAAUAUUUAUAGGAUCAAGAUGGGCAUGCGGAACAUUAGCUAGAUGGCGGGGUAACGGCCCACCAUGGCGACGAUGUUUAGGGGAUCUGAGAGGAUGGCCCCCCACACUGGUACUGAGACACGGACCAGACUCCUACGGGAGGCAGCAGUAAGGAAUAUUGGUCAAUGGGCGGAAGCCUGAACCAGCCAUGCCGCGUGCAGGAAGACGGCCCUACGGGUUGUAAACUGCUUUUAUACGGGAAUAAACCCAGAUACGUGUAUCUGGCUGAAUGUACUGUAAGAAUAAGGAUCGGCUAACUCCGUG